AACUUUCAACAAUGGAUCUCUUGGCUCUCGCAUCGAUGAAGAACGCAGCGAAAUGCGAUAAGUAAUGUGAAUUGCAGAAUUCAGUGAAUCAUCGACUCUUUGAACGCACCUUGCACCCUUUGGCAUUCCGAAGGGUAUGCUCGUUUGAGUGUCAUUGUACUCUCACACUCCCGAUGCUUUUGGAUUGGGAGUGGUGGACUUGGGUGUUGCUGCUUUACUGUGGCUCACCUCAAAUGGAGUAGUGCAACUCUUGGUUGGACAUAGUACGGCAUGAUAAGUGUCUUCGCCCGCGCCUCAUUAGAGGGUGGCCGAUCGGGAGCUCUGUGCUUCAAACCGUCUUCGGACAACAUCUGACAACUUGACCUCAAAUCGAGUAGGACUACCCGCUGAAUUUAAGCAUAUCAAUAAGCGGAGGCU
This 417-nucleotide unclassified non-coding RNA is filed under the name uncultured Sebacina. RNAcentral's name for it is "sequence contains ITS2". The stretch from base 1 to 154 matches the Rfam family "5.8S ribosomal RNA". Lineage: Eukaryota; Fungi; Basidiomycota; Agaricomycetes; Sebacinales; Sebacinaceae. The record is from RNAcentral.